AUGUCAGACGCGUCGUCGGAUCUCGGCGGCGCCCGGGCGGGGCCGCUGCCCGUCGUCGAGCGCGACCUCGAGCAGGCUAUCACUGCUCUCAAGAAAGGAGCCUACUUAUUGAAAUAUGGGCGUAGAGGGAAGCCGAAAUUUUGUCCAUUUAGGCUAUCCAAUGACGAGUCUGUAUUGAUAUGGUUUUCAGGGAAAGAGGAGAAGCAUCUAAGGUUGAGCCAUGUGUCCCGGAUAAUGCCUGGCCAACGGACUGCAAUAUUUCAGAGGUACCCACGACCUGAGAAGGAAUGCCAGUCCUUUUCUCUAAUUUCACAUGACAGGUCACUGGACAUCAUAUGUAAAGACAAAGAUGAGGCAGAAGUGUGGUUUGCUGGGCUGAAAACGUUGAUUUCACGAAGUCAUCAAAGAAAAUGGAGAACCGGCUCAAGAAGUGAUACCAUUUCGUCUGCUGCAACUAGUCCAAGGACUUUCACGCGACAGAGUUCUCCGUUGAGUUCUCCUUUCAGCAGCAGUGACAGUCUCCACAAGGAUUUCAACGAAAACUACCGGUUCCGUAGUCCAUAUGGGAGUCCACCAAAGAAUGGCUUGGAGAAGGCCUUUUCUGAUGUUGCGUUAUAUGCAGCUCCCCCCAGGGGCUUCUUCCCAUCAGAUUCUAAUGCAGCAUCAGUCCACUCUAUGUCUUCUGGACAAUCAGAUAACACAAAUGGGAAUUCCGGAGGUAUCCCAAUGGAUGCUUUCCGGAUCAGUUAUUCAAGUGCAGUUAGCUCUUCAAGUCAUGGUUCUGGUUAUGAUGACGGUGACGCUUUAGGUGAUGUUUUAAUAUGGGGAGAAGGAACCGGGGAAGGAAUUCUUGGUGGUGGAAACUCAAGAAUUGGAAGUUCCUCAGGUGCAAAAAUUGAUUGUCUUGUACCUAAACCAUUAGAGUUUGCUGUGCGGCUUGAUGUGCAGAAUAUAUCUUGUGGAGGAAGGCAUGCUGCACUUGUCAGUAAACAAGGCGAGAUCUACUCCUGGGGUGAGGAAUCGGGUGGGCGGCUUGGUCAUGGUGUAGAUUGUGAUGUGGCGCAUCCAAAACUCAUUGAUGCUCUUACUCAUAUGAACAUUGAGCUGGUAGCAUGCGGUGAAUACCACACCUGUGCUGUUACACUAUCUGGAGAUCUGUAUACAUGGGGGGACGGCGCCUUCAAAUUUGGGCUUUUGGGUCAUGGUAAUGAUGUCAGUCAGUGGGUACCAAAAAAGCUGCAUGGGCCACUGGAGGGUAUACAUGUUUCAUCAAUUUCAUGUGGCCCUUGGCAUACAGCCAUAGUAACUUCUGCUGGGCAGCUGUUCACAUUUGGAGAUGGCUCUUUUGGGGUUCUAGGCCAUGGAGACCGUGAGAGUCUCUCAGUCCCCAAGGAAGUGGAAUCUCUCAAAGGGCUUCGGACAGUGCGGGCUGCUUGUGGUGUUUGGCACACUGCUGCAGUUGUAGAAGUCAUGGUUGGGAAUUCAAGCUCUAGCAAUUGUUCAUCUGGCAAGAUAUUUACAUGGGGCGAUGGCGAUAAAGGCCGUUUAGGACAUGGUGAUAAGGAAUCGAGACUUGUCCCGACAUGUGUGGCUGCUUUGGUGGAGCCCAAUUUUUGUCAGGUUGCUUGCGGUCAUUCCUUGACAGUGGCUCUUACAACAUCAGGAAAUGUGUACACAAUGGGGAGUGCUGUAUAUGGCCAACUUGGAAAUCCACAAGCAGACGGUAUGCUUCCUGUACGUGUUGAAGGAAAGCUACACAAAAACUUUGUCGAGGAGAUCUCCUGUGGUGCUUAUCAUGUAGCUGUUUUGACCUCUAAGACCGAGGUCUACACAUGGGGUAAAGGUGCAAAUGGUCGGUUAGGUCAUGGCAAUACUGAUGACAAGAAUACUCCUACGUUGGUUGAAGCGCUAAAAGAUAAGCAAGUCAGAAGUGUUGUUUGUGGAACUAAUUUCACUGCAGCAGUAUGCAUUCAUAAAUGGGUAUCUGGAGUUGAUCAAUCAAUGUGCUCAGGAUGCCGUCAGCCUUUUAACUUGAGGAGAAAACGUCAUAACUGCUAUAAUUGUGCUCUGGUAUUUUGUCAUUCCUGUAGCAGUAAAAAAUCUCUGAAGGCUUCAUUGGCACCAAAUCAAAGUAAACCCUAUCGUGUUUGUGAUAGCUGCUACAGCAAGCUGACUAAGGGACCCGGAUCAGACAUGUACUCUUCAGCUAAGCAGGGAGCUGUUGUACAGGGCUUCAGUGACACGGUUGAUGAGGAGCUGGAAACAAGGUCAAAUGCUAAAUUGUCAAGAAUAUCUUCGAUGGAAUCUUUUAAGAACAUGGACAGUAGAUAUUCAAAGAAAAACAAGAAGUUCGAAUUUAACAGCACUCGCGUGUCCCCUGUUCCAAAUGGCGGUUCAAGAUCCUUCAAUCCUGUGUUUGGAUCUUCAAAAAAGUUUUUAUCAGCAUCUGUCCCUGGAUCCAGAAUUAUUUCUAGGGCCACAUCACCUGUUUCAAGAAGGUCAAGUCCUCCACGUUCUAUAACACCAACACCUACUUUGAGGAGUCUAACUUCUCCUGGAGGUGUCAUCAAUGGCACCAAGACGACAAAUGAUAGCCAAACUCAAGAAGUUCUAAGUUUGAAGUCCCAGGUGGACAAUCUUACUAGGAAGUCUCAACAUCUCGAACUUGAGUUGGAGAGAACUACCAAGCAAUUGAAGGAAGCUAUUGCCAUUGCUGGGGAGGAAACCGCGAAGUGCAAGGCAGCGAAGGAAGUAAUCAAGUCACUGACUGUACAAUUGAAGGGGAUGGCCGAGAGGUUACCUGGAGGAGUAGCCAAGAACGGCAAGCUACCACCCCUUCCUGGAAUUCCUAUACCAAGUGACAUAUCAGCCAUAGUCACCGAAAGUUUGGGCAGCCCAGGAAGUUCCGGAGAACAAGAACAAAUUUCAGAUUGUCCUAAUGGAUUGCUUGUUUCUAAUGGAUCAAGUUCUGUAAGGAACAAGGCAGGCCAUCCAGAAAUGACCAAUAAUGGAAGUGUACCACCCGAUGCAGAAUCCCAACACGAGGCCGAAUGGGUAGAGCAAGACGAACCAGGUGUCUAUAUCACUCUCACUGCCUUGCCUGGAGGGGCCAGAGAUCUCAAGCGAGUUCGGUUCAGCCGUAAGAGGUUCAGUGAGACACAGGCGGAACAAUGGUGGCAGGGGAACAGGGCAAGGGUGUACCAGCAGUACAAUGUUCACAUGGUUGACAAAUCGGUUGCCGCCAUGGAUCGCGAUAUUGCGACUCAUUGA
Molecule: ribosomal RNA, 3270 nt
Filed under: Triticum aestivum (bread wheat)
Lineage: Eukaryota; Viridiplantae; Streptophyta; Magnoliopsida; Poales; Poaceae
Description: partial small subunit ribosomal RNA
Source: RNAcentral